CCACGCCGUAAAUCGACCGCCUGGGGAGUACGGCCGCAAGGUUAAAACUCAAAUGAAUUGACGGGGGCCCGCACAAGCGGUGGAGCAUGUGGUUUAAUUCGAUGCAACGCGAAGAACCUUACCUACUCUUGACAUCCAAAGAAGAACUCAGAGAUGAGUUUGUGCCUUCGGGAGCUUUGAGACAGGUGCUGCAUGGCUGU
RNAcentral lists this ribosomal RNA (200 nucleotides) under uncultured bacterium. Its description in RNAcentral is "partial 16S ribosomal RNA". It matches the Rfam family "Bacterial small subunit ribosomal RNA", at positions 853 to 1052 of the family's 1533-position model. The record is from RNAcentral.